GAUGAACGCUGGCGGUGUGCCUAACACAUGCAAGUCGAGCGAACGGACGAUAAGCGCUCUCUCUUGCUGUUAGCGGCGGACGGGCGAGUAACGCGUGGAUAACCUACUUAUUUUUCUGGGAUAAUAUCGGGAGACCGCUUCCAAUACUGGAUCAUACGUUGUACCGCAUGAUUCAAAAGUGAUUGACGGUUUUGCCGUCACUUAUAGACGGUUUCGCGUUGCAUUAGCUAGUUGGUAAGGUAACGGCUUACCAAGGCAACGAUGCGUAGCUGACCUGAGAGGGUGAUCGGCCACACUGGAACUGAGACACGGUCCAGACUCCUACGGGAGGCAGCAGUAGGGAAUCUUCGACAAUGGGCGAAAGCCUGACGGAGCAACACCGCGUGAGUGAUGAAGGUCUUCGGGUCGUAAAGCUCUGUUGUUAGGGAAGAACAUCUGUGUGAGAAACUGUGGACGUCUUGACGGUACCUAAUCAGAAAGCAACGGCUAACUACGUG
RNAcentral lists this ribosomal RNA (497 nucleotides) under uncultured bacterium. Its description in RNAcentral is "partial 16S ribosomal RNA". It matches the Rfam family "Bacterial small subunit ribosomal RNA", at positions 28 to 507 of the family's 1533-position model. The record is from RNAcentral.